UUGAACGCUGGCGGCAGGCCUAACCCAUGCAAGUCGAGCGGAUGAAGGGAGCUUGCUCCUGGAUUCAGCGGCGGACGGGUGAGUAAUGCCUAGGAAUCUGCCUGGUAGUGGGGGAUAACGUCCGGAAACGGGCGCUAAUACCGCAUACGUCCUGAGGGAGAAAGUGGGGGAUCUUCGGACCUCACGCUCUCAGAUGAGCCUAGGUCGGAUUAGCUAGUUGGUGGGGUAAAGGCCUACCAAGGCGACGAUCCGUAACUGGUCUGAGAGGAUGAUCAGUCACACUGGAACUGAGACACGGUCCAGACUCCUACGGGAGGCAGCAGUGGGGAAUAUUGGACAAUGGGCGAAAUCCUGAUCCAGCCAUGCCGCGUGUGUGAAGAAGUUCUUCGGAUUGUAAAGCACUUUAAGUUGGGAGGAAGGGCAGUAAGUUAAUACCUUGCUGUUUUGACGUUACCAACAGAAUAAGCACCGGCUAACUUCGUG
RNAcentral lists this ribosomal RNA (483 nucleotides) under uncultured bacterium. RNAcentral's name for it is "partial 16S ribosomal RNA". It matches the Rfam family "Bacterial small subunit ribosomal RNA", at positions 30 to 507 of the family's 1533-position model. The record is from RNAcentral.